UACGGAGGGUGCAAGCGUUAUCCGGAUUCACUGGGUUUAAAGGGUGCGUAGGAGGGCAGGUAAGUCAGUGGUGAAAUCUCCGAGCUUAACUUGGAAACUGCCGUUGAUACUAUCUGUCUUGAAUACCGUGGAGGUGAGCGGAAUAUGUCAUGUAGCGGUGAAAUGCUUAGAUAUGACAUAGAACACCAAUUGCGAAGGCAGCUCACUACACGAAUAUUGACUCUGAGGCACGAAAGCGUGGGGAUCAAACAGG
RNAcentral lists this ribosomal RNA (253 nucleotides) under uncultured bacterium. RNAcentral's name for it is "partial 16S ribosomal RNA". It matches the Rfam family "Bacterial small subunit ribosomal RNA", at positions 524 to 776 of the family's 1533-position model. The record is from RNAcentral.